CUAGGCCAGAGUAUGUCAUAUACUCUGACAGCGAAUUGGAACAGUCAAGAAGCACCUUUUUUGAGAAACUGAGUCAGACAAGAAGGAGAUUACAUCCUUCCCAAAGACCUUUUAAUUUCAACUAAUCAGAAACACAAUAACAAGCAUGGUCUCCAUGAAGACAACAAUUGGUGAUGGCUUCCAGUGUCUUAGUAGUCGUGAAAUCACCUAAGCAUCUGGUGGAGUGCUAUCCAAUGCCAUGUGACAGAUCUCAGACUGGUAAAGAUGACUGGGAAUCCAUCAGUAAGCAGCUCCAGAAGAGAAUCCAUAAUGCGAGCACCCCAAAAAAGAAGCAGGGGCUGACACCCUCAAGAAAGAGGCCAGGACAAGGCAGGGGAUGGACAGGGGCUAUCCACUGAUGACACUGACGAGUCCACUUCCUCAACUGUGAUCUUGGACCCAUCACCACGAUCCAGAUCCAGCACACGAGAGUGAACAAUUGGACACUCACAGGAGACCCUAGCAAAUGUCAGCAAACGCCCCCCUCAACUCUGGCCCCGUUCUACUGUUUGACCAAGAGAAAUACACGUUCAUCAUUACGACAACGCCAGUGACGUCCUUCCUUAAGGUGGCGCUCUAUGAAAGUCUGCUGUACCUCAUGGCACAUCAUGCAUUACACCUCAUAUAUCCAGCGUGCAUUGCCACACUCCUGUCUGUCUUGCAGACUGAAGUGCUCGGUGAUGCCAUACACGAG
Molecule: long non-coding RNA, 733 nt
Organism: Lampris incognitus (smalleye Pacific opah)
Lineage: Eukaryota; Metazoa; Chordata; Actinopteri; Lampriformes; Lampridae
Exons: 3
Source: RefSeq, a predicted model, not a curated record